GUCGUGAGAUGUUGGGUUAAGUCCCGUAACGAGCGCAACCCUUGUCGUUAGUUACCAGCUCGUUAUGGUGGGCACUCUAAGGAGACUGCCGGUGACAAACCGGAGGAAGGUGGGGAUGACGUCAAGUCAUCAUGGCCCUUACGGCCUGGGCUACACACGUGCUACAAUGGUCGGUACAGAGGGUUGCCAAGCCGCGAGGUGGAGCUAAUCUCACAAACCCGAUCGUAGUCCGGAUCGCAGUCUGCACCUCGACUGCGUGAAGUCGGAAUCGCUAGUAAU
RNAcentral lists this ribosomal RNA (279 nucleotides) under Pseudomonas putida. Its description in RNAcentral is "16S ribosomal RNA". It matches the Rfam family "Bacterial small subunit ribosomal RNA", at positions 1064 to 1342 of the family's 1533-position model. Lineage: Bacteria; Pseudomonadati; Pseudomonadota; Gammaproteobacteria; Pseudomonadales; Pseudomonadaceae. The record is from RNAcentral.